This is a long non-coding RNA of Balaenoptera acutorostrata (minke whale), 746 nucleotides long. RefSeq lists it as uncharacterized. The transcript is spliced from 3 exons. NCBI's taxonomy places the organism in Eukaryota, Metazoa, Chordata, Mammalia, Artiodactyla, Balaenopteridae. The record is from RefSeq and is a predicted model, not a curated record.
UCCUUAUCUCAGUGCCUUCAGCACUUUCAGGUCCCACCUGGAAGCCCUCAGGCUCACCUGGACCCCCUCAAGGGCAGGGAGUUCCCCAUAAAGCAGAGGUGUAGGAAUUGGCGGAGGAAAAGAAACAUUCCCAGCUAAUGAGAAACAACCUGUGUGCAUUUCUAAAACAAACCGAAAAUGUACCCUUGAAGAGCUUCCAGACCUGGAAGUGCAAAGAAAAAACAGGCUGGCCGCGAGCAAUUAGCAACACAGCCUCCCAUUUGCAGAGUUUCAAAACAGCUUUAGGCUAACCCUUGCAUCUGGAGGGGCUGUCCACUGACGUGGGAACAGCGGCCACGGGAAAUCAGCGGCACAGUCGCUACCACGGAGCUGGGUCCCUGGUGGUAUGGCUACUCGAGUCCGGGCCGGGUAGGAGACAGUCCGGCUGGAGUCUGGACUUGCCACACUGAUGCUGGAGGGAAGGAGAUGGAUCCAAAAAAAUAUUGCUGUGGGGCUUCUCUGGUGGCGCAGUGGUUGAGAAUCUGCCUGCCAAUGCAGGGGACACAGGUUCCAACCCUGGUUUGGGAGGAUCCCGCAUGCCAUGGAGCAACUGGGCUCGUGAGCCACAACUACUGAGCCUGCGCGUCUGGAGGCUGUGCUCCGCAACAAGAGAGGCCGCGAUAGUGAGAGGCCCGCGCACCGCGAUGAAGAGUGGCCCCCGCUUGCCACAACUGGAGAAAACCCUCGCACAGAAACGAAGACCCAAC